UGGGGGAUAUUGCACAAUGGGCGAAAGCCUGAUGCAGCGACGCCGCGUGGGGGAUGAAGGCCUUCGGGUUGUAAACUUCUUUUGCUCUGAACAAGGCGCACCAUGGGGUGUGUUGAGUGUAGGGGUUGAUUAGCGCCGGCUAACUACGUGCCAGCAGCCGCGGUAAUACGUAGGGCGCGAGCGUUGUCCGGAAUUAUUGGGCGUAAAGGGCUUGUAGGUGGCUGGUUGCGUCUGUCGUGAAAGCUCAUGGCUUAACUGUGGGUUUGCGGUGGGUACGGGCUGGCUUGAGUGCAGUAGGGGAGGCUGGAAUUCCUGGUGUAGCGGUGGAAUGCGCAGAUAUCAGGAGGAAUACCGGUGGCGAAGGCGGGUCUCUGGGAUGUUACUGACACUGAGGAGCGAAAGCAUGGGGAGAGAACAGG
This 419-nucleotide ribosomal RNA is filed under the name bacterium. Its description in RNAcentral is "partial 16S ribosomal RNA". It matches the Rfam family "Bacterial small subunit ribosomal RNA", at positions 355 to 776 of the family's 1533-position model. The record is from RNAcentral.